RNAcentral lists this ribosomal RNA (270 nucleotides) under Pycnococcus provasolii. RNAcentral describes it as "partial Bacterial large subunit ribosomal RNA". It matches the Rfam family "Bacterial large subunit ribosomal RNA", at positions 1641 to 1893 of the family's 2925-position model. The record is from RNAcentral. Lineage: Eukaryota; Viridiplantae; Chlorophyta; Pseudoscourfieldiophyceae; Pseudoscourfieldiales; Pycnococcaceae.
CCCGUACCGCAAACCGACACAGGUAGGCUGGUUGAGGAAACUAAGGUGGACGAGCGAACCCUCGCUAAGGAACUCGGCAAAUUGACCCCGUACCUUCGGAAGAAGGGGUGCUGCGUACGUGUGAAGCCGCUUGCCGGUGGAGCACGGGGCAGCCGCAGGGUCCAGGCCCAGGCGACUGGAUAUCAGAACCACAGGUCCCUGCUUAAGCCGAAAGGCGACGUAUAGGGGCUGAUGCCUGCCCAGUGCCGGAAGGUUAAGGGGAGAUGUUCA